RNAcentral lists this non-coding RNA (95 nucleotides) under unclassified sequences. Its description in RNAcentral is "SAM-I-IV sequence". It matches the Rfam family "SAM-I/IV (S-adenosyl methionine) riboswitch aptamer". Rfam says of the family: It is found upstream of a number of genes which code for proteins involved in methionine or cysteine biosynthesis. It has been found mostly in the order Actinomycetales. The record is from Rfam by way of RNAcentral.
ACAUUACAUUUUGAGAGGGUUAAAACCCUGCCAACCUGCAUAACCUUGCGAAGGUGGUAUUAUGAUGUGGCUUAUAAGCAAAAAAAAGGUCCUUU